Long non-coding RNA from Gasterosteus aculeatus aculeatus (three-spined stickleback), 1178 nucleotides. Lineage: Eukaryota; Metazoa; Chordata; Actinopteri; Perciformes; Gasterosteidae. The record is from Ensembl.
UCUGAUUAUCAAGAAGCUUUAUUGUCUUCAUCAGAUUGAACAUCAUCAUCUUCCUCUUCAUCAUCGUCACCAUCAUCAUCCUCCUCAUUAUAGUCAUCAUUCUCAAUAUCCUCAUCAUCUUCAUCAUCACCAUCAUCCUCCUUACCACCACCACUACCAUCAUCACCAUCUUCAUCAUCAACACCUGUGUGCUGGACGUCAGGAGGCUGUUAACAUGCAGCUGAGCCGGGCAGACAGACAGGAAGACAGACGGAUAACGGAGGAAACAGACAGACAGACAGAGGUAGGUCAGACAGAACGGACGCCAAAGGGGGGCAGAGAGGUAGACAGCUGGGCAGGUAGUCAAGUAGGGGAACAGACAGGUGGUCGUCAGGCAGAGACAGGCAGGUAGAUAUGAGGACUGUCUCAGGUAGUCACAGACAGACAGGUGGUCGUCAGGCAGAGACAGGCAGGUAGAUAUGAGGACUGUCUCAGGUAGUGGCAGACAGACAGGUGGUCGUCAGGCAGAGACAGGCAGGUAGAUAUGAGGACUGUCUCAGGUAGUGGCAGACAGACAGGUGGUCGUCAGGCAGAGACAGGCAGGUAGAUAUGAGGACUGUCUCAGGUAGUCGCAGACAGACAGGUGGUCGUCAGGCAGAGACAGGCAGGUAGAUAUGAGGACUGUCUCAGGUAGUGGCAGACAGACAGGUGGUCGUCAGGCAGAGACAGGCAGGUAGAUAUGAGGACUGUCUCAGGUAGUCACAGACAGACAGGUGGUCGUCAGGCAGAGACAGGCAGGUAGAUAUGAGGACUGUCUCAGGUAGUCGCAGACAGACAGGUGGUCGUGAGGCAGAGACAGGCAGGUAGAUAUGAGGACUGUCUCAGGUAGUCGCAGACAGACAGGUGGUCGUCAGGCAGAGACAGGCAGGUAGAUAUGAGGACUGUCUCAGGUAGUGGCAGACAGACAGGUGGUCGUCAGGCAGAGACAGGCAGGUAGAUAUGAGGACUGUCUCAGGUAGUCGCAGACAGACAGGUGGUCGUCAGGCAGAGACAGGCAGGUAGAUAUGAGGACUGUCUCAGGUAGUCGCAGACAGACAGGUGGUCGUCAGGCAGAGACAGGCAGGUAGAUAUGAGGACUGUCUCAGGUAGUAGCAGACAGACAGGUGGUCGUCAGGCAGAGACAGGCAGGUAGAUAUGAG